GAUGAGAUUGAUGCAAUUGGUGGACGUCGAUUUAGUGAGGGAACAAGUGCAGACCGUGAAAUUCAGAGAACCUGUCUUUGUUUGAAGCCUUGCAUCAUUUUCAUGGAUGAGAUUGAUGCAAUUGGUGGACGUCGAUUUAGUGAGGGAACAAGUGCAGACCGUGAAAUUCAGAGAACGCUCAUGGAGUUGCUUAAUCAGUUGGAUGGAUUUGAUCAGCUUGGAAAGGUCGUUGAUCUAGUUGUAUAUCCCGAAGUAGCUAUAUUGCGGAUUUCUGUAGAUUAAAGAUCUGCGGUGUGCAUAGUACAUACUUUGUACUCCAUACUUCCUG
RNAcentral lists this long non-coding RNA (328 nucleotides) under Nicotiana benthamiana. Its description in RNAcentral is "long non-coding RNA (NBEN_LNC021192)". Lineage: Eukaryota; Viridiplantae; Streptophyta; Magnoliopsida; Solanales; Solanaceae. The record is from RNAcentral.